AACGAACGCUGGCGGCAGGCCUAAAACAUGCAAGUCGAACGCUCUAGCAAUAGAGAGUGGCGCACGGGUGCGUAACAUGUGGGAAUAUGCCUUUUGGUACGGAACAACUUUUGGAAACGAAAGCUAAUACCGUAUGGUCCCUUCGGGGUAAAGAUUUAUCGCCAAAAGAGUAGCCCGCACUGGAUUAGCUAGUUGGUGAGGUAAUGGCUCACCAAGGCGACGAUCCAUAGCUGGUCUGAGAGGACGAUCAGCCACACUGGGACUGAGACACGGCCCA
RNAcentral lists this ribosomal RNA (277 nucleotides) under uncultured bacterium. Its description in RNAcentral is "partial 16S ribosomal RNA". It matches the Rfam family "Bacterial small subunit ribosomal RNA", at positions 29 to 333 of the family's 1533-position model. The record is from RNAcentral.